AACGAACGCUGGCGGCAUGCCUAACACAUGCAAGUCGAACGAGACCUUCGGGUCUAGUGGCGCACGGGUGCGUAACGCGUGGGAACCUGCCCUUAGGUUCGGAAUAACUCCCCGAAAGGGGUGCUAAUACCGGAUAACGUCUUCGGACCAAAGAUUUAUCGCCUUUGGAUGGGCCCGCGUUGGAUUAGCUAGUUGGUAGGGUAAAAGCCUACCAAGGCGACGAUCCAUAGCUGGUCUGAGAGGAUGAUCAGCCACACUGGGACUGAGACACGACCCAGACUCCUACGGGAGGCAGCAGUGGGGAAUAUUGGACAAUGGGCGAAAGCCUGAUCCAGCAAUGCCGCGUGAGUGAUGAAGGCCUUAGGGUUGUAAAGCUCUUUUACCCGGGAUGAUAAUGACAGUACCGGGAGAAUAAGCUCCGGCUAACUCCGUG
Molecule: ribosomal RNA, 433 nt
Filed under: uncultured bacterium
Lineage: Bacteria
Description: partial 16S ribosomal RNA
Rfam family: Bacterial small subunit ribosomal RNA
Source: RNAcentral